AUUGAACGCUGGCGGCAGGCCUAACACAUGCAAGUCGGGCGCGCGGCGGACGGGUGAGUAAUGUAUGGGGAUCUGCCUGAUGGAGGGGGAUAACUACUGGAAACGGUAGCUAAUCCCGCCUCCCCUCCGCUGACCCCAUAUGGGAUUAGCUUGUAGGUGCGGUAACGGCUCACCUAGGCGACGAUCCCUCUCUGGUCUUAGAGGAUGAUCAGCCAAACUGGGACUGAGACACGGCCCAGACUACUACGGGAGGCAGCAGGGGGGAAUAUUGCACAAUGGGCGCAAGCCUGAUGCAGCCAUGCCGCGUGUAUGAAGAAGGCCUUCGGGUUGUAAAGUACUUUCAGUCGGGAGGCGUUACCGACAGAAGAAGCACCGGCUAACUCCGUGCCAGCAGCGGCGGUAAUUC
RNAcentral lists this ribosomal RNA (406 nucleotides) under uncultured bacterium. RNAcentral describes it as "partial 16S ribosomal RNA". It matches the Rfam family "Bacterial small subunit ribosomal RNA", at positions 30 to 526 of the family's 1533-position model. The record is from RNAcentral.